RNAcentral lists this long non-coding RNA (8110 nucleotides) under Lactuca sativa (garden lettuce). RNAcentral's name for it is "long non-coding RNA (LSAT_LNC003134)". The record is from RNAcentral. Lineage: Eukaryota; Viridiplantae; Streptophyta; Magnoliopsida; Asterales; Asteraceae.
CACUUGGGGCACUAGGCACUCAAGCUUCAUGAAGACUUUCUACAUCAAAGAGGUAUGUAUUCUAUCUUGUUAUAGUCAUUGUUUUGUAUGCUAGAUUAGGAUAAUACCUUGGAAGUUCUUAUUUGCAUGUAUAAUAGAGAAAACAUAGAUCCAAGGUAUUUAGGGUUGCAUGUACACUUAGGAGUGUUAGAAUGCUCAAAACCCAACAGUGGUAUCAGAGCCUAGGCUUGUUUUCUUGUUAUACCUGCAAUAGAAGCUGAAAAAACGAAUCUGGUGCUGUCUGGCCAUCAGACUCGGCGAGUCCAUCAGGAGACUCGACGAGUCCAUGCCUAAAAAGUGAUGAAUUCGAUCCAACUCGCCGAGUUUGUUCAUGCACUCGACGAGUUGGACCCCCAGACAGCAUAUUUUCGAGUUUUUUGGCUAGAAAUGGACUAGGAACAUUACCCUAAGUUGUUUUUGAACUUAUAAACUUGUUUUUGAUGUGGUAAUGUUCAUGCUAAUCCAUUUUCAAAGAUAAUUGUCAAUAGAUUCAUGUUUUGUAUUAGUUUAAGGUUUAGACUAAUUACAUGAAAAAGUUUGAUUUGAAUUAUCUUGUUCUUAUGAGUUGCUUAGAUUAAUAGAAAUGUUGAGUGAAAUAGUUGUUUUCAAUCCAUUUUAAUCUAAGAGUUGAGUAUAAAAUGUGUUUGUGUAACUUGUCCUCAAGUUACAUGAAGAGUCACAUUAAAGACUCAUAAAACUCAUAAAAGUUGGCAAUGGUUACAAAAUGAAGAGUCUUGUGUCAUUGAAUAAUUUUUUUUGACUCCAUAACUUGUCCUCAAGUUAUGGAAGUUCAAGAGUCACUUCAUUAAAGAAAAAUAUGUAACCAUAAUUAAAUCCAUAAGUUAUAAAAUAAAGAAAAAGUUAGUUCUUUUAUUAGUUUAAAGUCUUCCAUAACUUGUCCUCAAGUUAUGGAACUUGAAGAGUUUUUGGAUUAAAACUACUUUAAACACAUAAGUUAUGGAAUUAAUUAGUUUUGAAUAGUUUCAAAACUUGCCCUCAAGUUUUGGAAUUUGAAAAGUUUUCAAGUAUGAAUACUUUAAUUCCAAGUUAGCCCUUAGAAUUUUAAAAGUUAAAAUUCAACCCUUAUACUUUAUAAUAUUAUAAGUUAAUAAUAUAUAUAUGUAUAAGAGUAAAGUCAGUCUUACCGCUAGUACGCCUCAUUCACGAAGCCGGUCUAUAAGGUGGGUAUAAGGUUGUUGCCUAUAAAAUGGCAACUUAAUGGGUGUCCACUCUCACCCACCGCUUGCUUGACUGGUGGAGGGUCGUUAGCCGAACGGGUUUGACAGGACUAGAAUUCUCCCUUCAUUAAAAGUAUUAAUGAUAAUACUAAGUAACUAAACUCUUAAUAAUACCCAAUCUUAGUUACUUAGGAAAAAUGUGAAUAAGGUGCUAAUCCAUGAAAUUACACUUUACACUUUGUCUAAGUCGUUAGUGGAGCGUGUGUGGUUAACCGGCACACUAACUUGGACUUAACAAGGUAGGUAAAGGGUGACUUAAUAUUUAUCAUAGUAUCGAUGGAGCGUGUGUGGUUAACCGGCACAUCGAUUGAGGGGUAAUUUAUUAAGGGUACCAAGUGAUUUGCAUGGUUACUUCACACCUUGUUUUGUGAUCCUCGGCAUCCCAGUCACAAAACCUGAAGGGCACACUCGAGAUUGAAACAUGCCUUUGAAAAGUUCAAUGAAUCUCAAAGAUCUAGGAGUUUCAAAACCAAUUAAAACCUAAUAAUACAUUUCGUUUAUCUUGGUGGAAAUUGGUGAAUCGUCAUUCACCUACCUUCAAAUAUUUUAUAGCUUGGAUUACGGCAUACCUCUUCUAAGUUAUAAAAUAGUUUGUUGGGUCCUAGCCUUAAUAUUUCAUAUUGGGUGUCAUAUUAAGGACUUUAAAUCAACUAUCUUGAAUAUCUCCCAAAAGAUGUCUGGUUUAGACACCUAUGAUCUUCCCAAAUCUCUUGAAACAAGGUUUCCUAAUGAAGAUGAUGUCCCAUGGAUAUCAUACUUCUUCACCUCUUCAAAUUAUUCUCCCUAACCCACAAGUUCUUGAAAAGUUUAAGGUCACUCAGGCCCUAUUAGCAAGGCAAGGUCUAGGUGUGGUCACAUCUUGGAGAUGUAGUCACAUAUUGACAAGCCGGGAGAGUUGGGUGUCAAAGUCUUGAGAAAGUUGGUGGUUCAACCACUUUCUAAGUCACAUAGUGAGUUCCUUUGGGACACCUAUGAAACAGACUAUGACAAGACCCUUAAUGAUCUUAUCUAUUUGCUAAGAUCAACUUCCUAAAACUUUAUGGACAUUGACAAUGAUGACAUUGGAUAUCCAGUAAAGCAUUCUCUUCCCAAUGGAAAGGGAUCGGCCAUAGUCAACUCGGUUGACCAAAUGGUAAAGAGAAAAGCUAAGUCUGUGAUAGUCCCGUGUACCAUUAUCAAAGGGUCCAUAUGUUUAUAUUGCCAAAGGAAGGGGCAUUGGUUGCGAAGCUGCCAAAUUUACCUAAGGAUGUUAAAGUCAAUAAGUUUGACUCUACUUCAGGUAAAGUCCACUAUCUAACUCUGUUAAGUUUCUAUUCUGAGAUUCUUGAUACAUGAUGUGACUGGGUCACAUGGUGAUGUUUUAAGAAUCAAAGAAAAGUGAAGAAACUUAAAGAAAGAAUAUGCUGAAUCUGAUGGCGUAGAUGGAUUUCUAUCGCAUAGUUUGAAGAUCGGAUUCUUGAGCUACUUCUUAGGAGUUAUGAGAUAUUGCUUAGGAAUAGAUAACAACAAGUUUUCAUAUGGAUUGUAAGGAUAAGUUUUUCCGCAAAGUUUUAAAAUAAAAGAAAAUUUUUUUGAUUUUAUUUAUUUUAAAAUAUCCUUACAAUGGCUUUUGAGGAAAAAUUGUUGCUUAUAUGAUUCCAUUAAGAGCAAGAGUGGAAAUAUGAAAUUGAUUCUUUCAUUUGUGGUAAUGUCUAGAUUUACCAAAUAAGGAAAGAUUCUCAUCACCCAAGUUUCAAUUGGACCGGAACUUGGAAUCAUGCAAGUUGUAUAGCAUGAUGAAUGAGAACUUUCAAGUUUUGGAAAAUUAAGACUAAUUACUUGUUCACAUGGAUGUGUGAGUCAAGUAAAGGACUAAGGGAUCGAGUACACAUUCUUGUGCACUGAUUAAGUCCACCACUAAAGAUCGAUAAGAAGAAUCAAAUAAGGCAGAAGGAUAAAAGUUUCUCAAAUCUGAAAAGAUGGGAGAGUACUUUAGUAUCAGUUUUGUGAUCAUCUUAAUGAUUAAGAAACCAUAUCAAAAUUAGUUCUCUAAGGAAAUCUUAGUGCAUUCUUAUGACUAAGAAGAGGAACUUGAAUUGUUGAAAUGGUUAAAUCAAGAAGAUGAGUCAUACUUCGUUCCAAUACAAGUCUUAGAGUCAUACUCCAAGAUUGUCAUUUGAGUGACAUGUCUUAAAGAAGGUUUAAAACACUUGUCAAAUGUAAGAGUAAAAGUUUUCUACUCUUGUACAUUUGAAAUUGGUAAGUUGUGAUGUUUUGGAUAAAACAAAGACCAACUUAGGCCAAUUGGGUAAAGUGUUUUUCUUGAUUAGAAUCCGCACUAUCUCUUGGAUGUUUGACAAGGGAGUCUUAUAUGUCAAGAGGACAGUGGGAGUCUUAAAGGUCUUGAAAGUCUCAAGAAAUAAUCAAGAAUAAAACCUAAAGUUCUUCACUAGCACACGACUUGAGGUUUAUAACCUAUCGUGUUGACAUAUCUGUGCCCAUUCCAGUUAAAGUUGGCUUUGCAUAUGAGUUCUUAGAGUUCUCAGUUUGUUGCAUAACAACUUGGAAGCAAUGGCAGGCCCUUGAGCUGCCAGGUGGCAAGAAGUUAAGAUUGAGUUCAAUCCAUAUGGUUUUGGAUUUGUCAUUAUCUUUGUCUUGUGAUUAUGGUUUGACAAAUUCAUAUGGGUAGGAACUCAUACACCAUAUAAAUCUAAGUGUCAUAAGGUUUCUCUCCGAUUCAUGAAAAUGAUGGUGAGGAAACGCUUUCACUAAGUAGAUUUUACGAAGAUAUCAAUUGUGUUAUUUGCAUUUUCAAAAGUCGUUAGUGGAGCGCGUGUGGUUAACCGGCACACUAACAUGGACUUGUGAGAAAUGGCAAAUGCCUAAGCAAUUGAGACCAUGAUUACGGUAUCCCUUUUCAUGGUUCUUGAAAUUGCUUAGACACACAGGUGAGCUAUCUACGGAAAGGGUGUAUGAAUCUAAAUUUCAGACUGUCCAGCUGAUUUCUGAGUACAUGUCAAAGCUAGUGGGAGCAUAAGUGUUAUGCUAAUAAUCAUCAUGUUAGUGGGAGCAUGAUAAUUAUGAUAAGUAUUGCAAGUUAGCAAUGUUAAUUAUAGAAAACAAAAGUUUCAAUUGGGAAAAAGUUGUUUUGCUAUAAUUAAGGGAGAGGAAAUUAUGCUUCAUCUCAAAUCUAUAAGCUUAGAUCGUGAGGUUUUAAUCAUUUAGUCAAGGAUAUAUAUGAAUUUCAUGUUGGAAUGGCUCAACAUAAGGAAAUUCUGUAUAUGGGUCCAUUAUUUGCGUUCUAAAAUUCGAUUAUGAUUACGGCAUCCCUUUUCAUAAUCUGAAUUAUGAGAACUUGGCAAAUUGAAAUGGAAAUAUUAUAGCAAAAGACUGGUUUAGUCUUUAUGUAAGACAUCAUGAAUCGUGUCCCAUAUGCUUCGGAUAUAGGAUCGAUUACAUGUGCUAUAUUCAUCCGUUCUAAAAUUUUCCAAAUGCCUGGGGCAUUAAGAAGGGAAAAGGUUUAGAACUGGAUAUGACUAAAAGGAUUAAACAAUUGUCGAGGACAAUCUAAGGUUUACCAAAGAUUGGUUACUCAAGGACAAUUGGAAGUAUAGUGAUAAUUCUGGAAGGACCAUAUUGACAUAAUCUGUAAGGAGGCAACUCUUGUUCAGAAGUGAUAGUCAAAAUGGAAUCUGGAAAUGUUUAAAAGUUAGAAUUUUCAAUCUGUUUAAGAUUAGGAAACUUAAUGCGAGAAAGAUGUUUCCAAGGAGCUGAUAUCCUUUGGAAUACUCUAUAAUGAUUAUUGUCAAGUCUUUCUGAUUUUGUGCAUAAUCAUUACAAGUGGAUCAAUGCAUAUAAGUUUAGAAUCUAAUAGAUUUCAGUAAAUGACAUGAAUUUGGAAUUCUUGCAUUUGCAGUAAGGAUUUGGGAGUGUGAAAAGAGAAUCAUUGAAGUUAUGUUCAAUUGAUCUAGUUCACAAAGUAAAGAUCAUAGACAAACAUAGUAUGCAUACUUGGUGUGUGGCAUGACUAGUGUUUAGAAAACAUAGUGUACAUGCUUGGAGCAUGGGACAACUAUUGUUUUAAAUUCAAGAAUAAAGAUGAUAGCUGAAACAAUAUACAAUGAAUAAUGUGUAAUCAUAUGGUGAUAAAUAAAAGGUGUUUUAUUUAUGUUCAUAGGUUUUGAUACCAUAUUGGAUUCAAUUAUUAUUUCAUUUUGCAUGUUAUGUUUUGACUUCCCGAAUAAACUAGGUUAUUCUUCCGGAAUGACUAAGUUAUUCAAACCAUCCACAGUCGGUCAUAUGUUGGAAGUAGAUAUGAAUUAAGACUGUCAUGGGUUGGCUUGUAGAGGUCUAAGGUGUUGGACAAAGGGCUACAACACUCAUGAGUGCUCAUAAGUUCUGAGUAUUGGAUUCAACCCACGCUCAUUGGAAUCACUUCAUUGAUUUUAUCACGAGUGAUCAUGAGACAAUAAUAUCUUAUAUUCUUCAAACCUAGAGAUAUGAGUUGUUACUAUGAGUUGAUAGUACAUUGAUUGCACGAAAACGCAUUUGGUAACUCGGUGCUAUAAAACGUGCCUUUGUGUAUGAUUCAACAAGUAGUAGAACAAGCCAUAUGAGUCGAAGUUUAUCCGUUCCUUUUACCUUCGGGAUAAAAGCGAUAUCUGUGGGCCCCUCGAUGAUUUGAUGAUGACAAAUGGAAGUGCUCGGCCGGGCCAGGACUGAUUUGAUUUGUUCAAUUAGUCAGUCGUCAUAAAUCGGAAAUCGGGAAACAACAAAUGGACAGAGAGAAUGAUUAUAAUCCAUGUCUCAGUCCAUAUGAUAUCUAGAAUGGAGGAAUAUAUGAUCCCUUAUCUAAUGGACAAGUCAUUGACAAAGGUCAGAGUUCAUCUACAAGGUCAGAGUUCGACAGAAGCUUUUGAGAGCUACGAUUGCCAGUUGGUUCCUGAAGUCAUACGCAAUAAUAGUUUUAGACUUAUCCAAGUGGGAGACUGUUGGAUUAAUGUCUAAGUCCAUAACUAUAAUUGGUAACACUUGACCCGACCCGGCAUGGUCCAUUUGGGUUGCAUGGCAUCAUGCAUUUGGAUAGACUAUAAUGAGAGAAAUAAGACACUUAUGGUUAUUAAUAUAUUAUAAGUUUUAGUAUAUUAAUAAUAAGAAUAAUAAGAUUAUUUAAUUAGUAUUGAUCAAGAAUUAAUCUAGGAUUAAUUAAGUGAUCAAAAGAAGACUAAUUAAAUAUAUGGGUUGAUUGUGUAAAUCAUCCAUACUUGUAUAGUGGGCUAAUGCUCCAUGGAUAAUCAAGUUGGGCUAAAACCCAUAGGAUGGUCCAUGGAUGCUCCAUGGUGUAUUUGAACCCAUGGAUCCAAGGAAAUGGAAAGCCAUGACAAUUAAGAGUUUACCCUAAUUGUAACACUAUAUAAAGAUCACAUUCUUGGGAAAAAUCGGCCACUAGAGAGAGUAAGAAAGGGCUAGCCGAUUUUCAUGAAGUGUAGAAUUCUCUCAAGUUAAUCCAAGUGUAUUUGGUGUUGUGUGAACCAUUUGAGGUGUCACACUUGGGGCACUUGGCACUCAAGCUUCAUGAAGACUUUCUACACCAAAGAGGUAUGUAUUCUAUCUUGUUACACUCAUUGUUUUGUAUGCUAGAUUAGGAUAAUACCUUGGAAGUUCUUAUUUGCAUGUAUAAUAGAGAAAAGAUAGAUCCAAGGUAUUUAGGGUUGCAUGUACACUUAGGAGUGUUAGAAUGCUCAUAACCCAACACCCAAUUAGUGUGCCAGUUAACCACACACGCUCCACUAACGUGUUAGCAAGGGUACAAAGUGUAAUUUCAUAGAAUUGCAUCAAUUCAGUUUUUCCUAAAGUAACUAAGAUUGGGAACUUUGUAAAACAUUUAGUUACUUUUAUAAUUUCAUUAUACUUUUAAUGAGGAAAGGGUUACCCUAUCCUACCCGUUCGGCUAACGACCCUCAACAAUCAAGGAAGCGGUGGGUGAGAGUGUACACCCAUUAAACGGCCAUUUUAUAGGCCAUAACCUUAUACCCCUGUUACAGACCGGCUUCCUGAAUGAGGCCUACUGUGACAACCACAAAUUUCAAGCCAAUGUGACAAAUUCCAGUCGAACCUUGUACACCAUUUUAAGUUAAUAAAACAUCUUCGAAAAUAAAAUGUUCAAAAGUUUCAAUUGGGUUGUCUAAAUGAUAGAUAUCGUUUGAAGGGUUUCAGAAAUAUGAAGAACACUAAAAACCGACUUAUAACAAAAAAGUUAUGACCAAUCUAAGAAUCGCGGCAAAAACCGACAAUGCUAGUAAAUGUAAAACGCAAAGUUUCAAUACAAUAAUUAUUAGCCUUAGGUGUCUAAACAAAAGUCAUAGAUUACGUUAAACUGUGAGCAUGCAUAAAAAGAACGCCCAAAUCUGACUUCGCAUGAGGAAGUUAUGAUUUUUCUAAGUUCUGAGGUGGCGGUAGACAGCUAAAAACUCGAAACAGUGAUCGAGUGAUUUGUGGCCGACACAACCUAAACGAGACUCGAAGAUCUCUUCAAAGGUAGCACAACGGUAAAAAUUCUGACAAAAACGGACGUCGGAUGAAGAAGUUAUGGAUUUUAAACAAACUUUUCGUGUCCCGACCUAUUAAAAAUAUAUAAUUAAAAAUAAGUUCAAGAUUUGCCAACGAAGUCUAAACGAAAGUUGUAGAGUACGUUCUCACCUACGCGAGCAUAUUAAGAACGUCAAAAACGGAGGUCGUAUGCGAAAGUUACAGUUUCUACAAGUUCGAGGCACACAAAUAAAGAUGAUUUACGCCCAGCGUACCCUUGUACGCCCAACGUACUCGGGUGCUAGGCCUCGGUUCGUCCACGUCAC